UGUCCAGACUCCUACGGGAGGCAGCAGUGGGGAAUAUUGCACAAUGGGGGAAACCCUGAUGCAGCAACGCCGCGUGAGUGAAGAAGUAUUUCGGUCUGUAAAGCUCUAUCAGCAGGGAAGAAGAUGACGGUACCUGAUUAAGAAGCCCCGGCUAACUACGUGCCAGCAGCCGCGGUAAUACGUAGGGGGCAAGCGUUAUCCGGAUUUACUGGGUGUAAAGGGAGCGCAGACGGCAGUGCAAGUCUGGAGUGAAAGCCCGGGGCCCAACCCCGGAACUGCUCUGGAAACUGUGCGGCUAGAGUACUGGAGGGGCAGGCGGAAUUCCUAGUGUAGCGGUGAAAUGCGUAGAUAUUAGGAGGAACACCAGUGGCGAAGGCGGCUUGCUGGACGACGACUGACGUUGAGGCUCGAAAGCGUGGGGAGCAAACAGGAUUAGAUACCCUGGUAU
This 448-nucleotide ribosomal RNA is filed under the name uncultured bacterium. RNAcentral's name for it is "bacterial SSU rRNA". It matches the Rfam family "Bacterial small subunit ribosomal RNA", at positions 328 to 793 of the family's 1533-position model. The record is from RNAcentral.